CCUACGGGAGGCAGCAGUCGAGAAUCAUUCACAAUGGGGGAAACCCUGAUGGUGCGACGCCGCGUGGAGGAAUGAAGGUCUUCGGAUUGUAAACCCCUGUCAUGUGGGAGCAAAUUAAAAAGAUAGUACCACAAGAGGAAGAGACGGCUAACUCUGUGCCAGCAGCCGCGGUAAUACAGAGGUCUCAAGCGUUGUGCGGAAUCACUGGGCGUAAAGCGUGCGUAGGCUGUUUCGUAAGUCGUGUGUGAAAGGUGCGGGCUCAACCCGCGGACGGCACAUGAUACUGGGAGACUAGAGUAAUGGAGGGGUAGCCGGAAUUCUCGGUGUAGCAGUGAAAUGCGUAGAUAUCGAGAGGAACACUCGUGGCGAAGGCGGGUUCCUGGACAUUAACUGACGCUGAGGCACGAAGGCCAGGGGAGCGAAAGGGAUUAGAUACCCGUGUAGUC
RNAcentral lists this ribosomal RNA (446 nucleotides) under uncultured bacterium. Its description in RNAcentral is "partial 16S ribosomal RNA". It matches the Rfam family "Bacterial small subunit ribosomal RNA", at positions 338 to 795 of the family's 1533-position model. The record is from RNAcentral.